RNAcentral lists this small nucleolar RNA (102 nucleotides) under Myotis lucifugus (little brown bat). Its description in RNAcentral is "Small nucleolar RNA SNORA63 (ENSMLUG00000021748.2)". Lineage: Eukaryota; Metazoa; Chordata; Mammalia; Chiroptera; Vespertilionidae. The record is from RNAcentral.
AAGAGGAAGAGUGCUAUUGUCCCUCCCCCUGCUGAGAGUAAGUGUUUCCUACAAUCUCUGACUCAUUUCCAUAGUAAGACAGGGACGCUUGGUCUCAAACAU